GAUGAACGCUGGCGGCGUGCCUAAUACAUGCAAGUCGAGCGAACAGACGAGGAGCUUGCUCCUCUGACGUUAGCGGCGGACGGGUGAGUAACACGUGGAUAACCUACCUAUAAGACUGGGAUAACUUCGGGAAACCGGAGCUAAUACCGGAUAAUAUAUUGAACCGCAUGGUUCAAUAGUGAAAGACGGUUUUGCUGUCACUUAUAGAUGGAUCCGCGCCGCAUUAGCUAGUUGGUAAGGUAACGGCUUACCAAGGCAACGAUGCGUAGCCGACCUGAGAGGGUGGUCGGCCACCAUGGAACUGAGACACGGUCCAGACUCCUACGGGAGGCAGCAGUAGGGAAUCUUCCGCAAUGGGCGAAAGCCUGACGGAGCAACGCCGCGUGAGUGAUGAAGGUCUUCGGAUCGGAAAACUCUGUUAUUAGGGAAGAACAAAUGUGUAAGUAACUAUGCACGUCUUGACGGUACCUAAUCAGAAAGCCACGGCUAACUACGUG
RNAcentral lists this ribosomal RNA (497 nucleotides) under uncultured bacterium. Its description in RNAcentral is "partial 16S ribosomal RNA". It matches the Rfam family "Bacterial small subunit ribosomal RNA", at positions 28 to 507 of the family's 1533-position model. The record is from RNAcentral.